This 2913-nucleotide ribosomal RNA is filed under the name Klebsiella pneumoniae. RNAcentral's name for it is "23S ribosomal RNA". It matches the Rfam family "Bacterial large subunit ribosomal RNA". Lineage: Bacteria; Pseudomonadati; Pseudomonadota; Gammaproteobacteria; Enterobacterales; Enterobacteriaceae. The record is from RNAcentral.
GGGUUGUGAGGUUAAGCGACUAAGCGUACACGGUGGAUGCCCUGGCAGUCAGAGGCGAUGAAGGACGUGCUAAUCUGCGAAAAGCGUCGGUAAGGUGAUAUGAACCGUUAUAACCGGCGAUGUCCGAAUGGGGAAACCCAGUGCAAUUCGUUGCACUAUCGUUAACUGAAUACAUAGGUUAACGAGGCGAACCGGGGGAACUGAAACAUCUAAGUACCCCGAGGAAAAGAAAUCAACCGAGAUUCCCCCAGUAGCGGCGAGCGAACGGGGAGCAGCCCAGAGUCUGAAUCAGCUUGUGUGUUAGUGGAACGGUCUGGAAAGUCCGACGGUACAGGGUGAUAGUCCCGUACACCAAAAUGCACAGGCUGUGAACUCGAAGAGUAGGGCGGGACACGUGGUAUCCUGUCUGAAUAUGGGGGGACCAUCCUCCAAGGCUAAAUACUCCUGACUGACCGAUAGUGAACCAGUACCGUGAGGGAAAGGCGAAAAGAACCCCGGCGAGGGGAGUGAAAAAGAACCUGAAACCGUGUACGUACAAGCAGUGGGAGCACCUUCGGGUGUGACUGCGUACCUUUUGUAUAAUGGGUCAGCGACUUAUAUUCUGUAGCAAGGUUAACCGUAUAGGGAGCCGCAGGAAACCGAGUCUUAACUGGGCGUUAAGUUGCAGGGUAUAGACCCGAAACCCGGUGAUCUAGCCAUGGGCAGGUUGAAGGUUGGGUAACACUAACUGGAGGACCGAACCGACUAAUGUUGAAAAAUUAGCGGAUGACUUGUGGCUGGGGUGAAAGGCCAAUCAAACCGGGAGAUAGCUGGUUCUCCCGAAAGCUAUUUAGGUAGCGCCUCGUGAAUUCAUCUUCGGGGUAGAGCACUGUUUCGGCUAGGGGCAUCCCGACUUACCAACCCGAUGCAAACUACGAAUACCGAAGAAUGUUAUCACGGGAGACACACGGCGGGUGCUAACGUCCGUCGUGAAGAGGAAACAACCCAGACCGCCAGCUAAGGUCCCAAAGUCAUGGUUAAGUGGGAAACGAUGUGGGAAGGCACAGACAGCCGGAUGUUGGCUUAGAAGCAGCCAUCAUUUAAAGAAAGCGUAAUAGCUCACUGGUCGAGUCGGCCUGCGCGGAAGAUGUAACGGGCUAAACCAUGCACCGAAGCUGCGGCAGCGACACUAUGUGUUGUUGGGUAGGGAGCGUUCUGUAAGCCUGCGAAGGUGACCUGUGAGGGUUGCUGGAGGUAUCAGAAGUGCGAAUGCUGACAUAAGUAACGAUAAAGCGGGUGAAAAGCCCGCUCGCCGGAAGACCAAGGGUUCCUGUCCAACGUUAAUCGGGGCAGGGUGAGUCGACCCCUAAGGCGAGGCCGAAAGGCGUAGUCGAUGGGAAACAGGUUAAUAUUCCUGUACUUGGUGUUACUGCGAAGGGGGGACGGAGAAGGCUAUGUUAGCCGGGCGACGGUUGUCCCGGUUUAAGCAUGUAGGCUGGUUAUCCAGGCAAAUCCGGAUAAUCAAGGCUGAGGUGUGAUGACGAGGCACUACGGUGCUGAAGUAACAAAUGCCCUGCUUCCAGGAAAAGCCUCUAAGCAUCAGGUAACAUCAAAUCGUACCCCAAACCGACACAGGUGGUCAGGUAGAGAAUACCAAGGCGCUUGAGAGAACUCGGGUGAAGGAACUAGGCAAAAUGGUGCCGUAACUUCGGGAGAAGGCACGCUGGUGUGUAGGUGAAGUCCCUGCGGAUGGAGCUGAGACCAGUCGAAGAUACCAGCUGGCUGCAACUGUUUAUUAAAAACACAGCACUGUGCAAACACGAAAGUGGACGUAUACGGUGUGACGCCUGCCCGGUGCCGGAAGGUUAAUUGAUGGGGUUAUCCGUAAGGAGAAGCUCUUGAUCGAAGCCCCGGUAAACGGCGGCCGUAACUAUAACGGUCCUAAGGUAGCGAAAUUCCUUGUCGGGUAAGUUCCGACCUGCACGAAUGGCGUAAUGAUGGCCAGGCUGUCUCCACCCGAGACUCAGUGAAAUUGAACUCGCUGUGAAGAUGCAGUGUACCCGCGGCAAGACGGAAAGACCCCGUGAACCUUUACUAUAGCUUGACACUGAACAUUGAGCCUUGAUGUGUAGGAUAGGUGGGAGGCUUUGAAGCGUGGACGCCAGUCUGCGUGGAGCCAACCUUGAAAUACCACCCUUUAAUGUUUGAUGUUCUAACGUUGGCCCCUUACCGGGGUUGCGGACAGUGUCUGGUGGGUAGUUUGACUGGGGCGGUCUCCUCCCAAAGCGUAACGGAGGAGCACGAAGGUUAGCUAAUCCCUGGUCGGACAUCAGGAGGUUAGUGCAAUGGCAUAAGCUAGCUUGACUGCGAGCGUGACGGCGCGAGCAGGUGCGAAAGCAGGUCAUAGUGAUCCGGUGGUUCUGAAUGGAAGGGCCAUCGCUCAACGGAUAAAAGGUACUCCGGGGAUAACAGGCUGAUACCGCCCAAGAGUUCAUAUCGACGGCGGUGUUUGGCACCUCGAUGUCGGCUCAUCACAUCCUGGGGCUGAAGUAGGUCCCAAGGGUAUGGCUGUUCGCCAUUUAAAGUGGUACGCGAGCUGGGUUUAGAACGUCGUGAGACAGUUCGGUCCCUAUCUGCCGUGGGCGCUGGAGAAUUGAGGGGGGCUGCUCCUAGUACGAGAGGACCGGAGUGGACGCAUCACUGGUGUUCGGGUUGUCAUGCCAAUGGCACUGCCCGGUAGCUAAAUGCGGAAGAGAUAAGUGCUGAAAGCAUCUAAGCACGAAACUUGCCCCGAGAUGAGUUCUCCCUGAGACUUUAAGUCUCCUGAAGGAACGUUGAAGACGACGACGUUGAUAGGCCGGGUGUGUAAGCGCAGCGAUGCGUUGAGCUAACCGGUACUAAUGAACCGUGAGGCUUAACCUUACAACGCCGAAG